RNAcentral lists this ribosomal RNA (863 nucleotides) under uncultured Actinomycetes bacterium. Its description in RNAcentral is "bacterial SSU rRNA". It matches the Rfam family "Bacterial small subunit ribosomal RNA", at positions 524 to 1380 of the family's 1533-position model. The record is from RNAcentral. Lineage: Bacteria; Bacillati; Actinomycetota; Actinomycetes.
UACGUAGCGUGCGAGCGUUGUCCGGAUUUAUUGGGCGUAAAGGGCUCGUAGGUGGUUGAUCGCGUCGGAAGUGUAAUCUUGGGGCUUAACCCUGAGCGUGCUUUCGAUACGGGUUGACUUGAGGAAGGUAGGGGAGAAUGGAAUUCCUGGUGGAGCGGUGGAAUGCGCAGAUAUCAGGAGGAACACCAGUGGCGAAGGCGGUUCUCUGGGCCUUUCCUGACGCUGAGRAGCGAAARCKUGGGGAGCGAACAGGCUUUARAUACCCUGGUAGUCCACGCUUGUAAACGGUGGGUACUAGGUGUGGGGUCCAUUCCACGGGUUCCGUGCCGUAGCUAACGCUUUAAGUACCCCGCCUGGGGAGUACGGCCGCAAGGCUAAAACUCAAAGGAAUUGACGGGSCCCCGCACAAGCGGCGGAGCAUGCGGAUUAAUUCGAUGCAACGCGUAGAACCUUACCUGGGUUUGACAUGGAUCGGGAGUGCUCAGAGAUGGGUGUGCCUCUUUUGGGGUCGGUUCACAGGUGGUGCAUGGCUGUCGUCAGCUCGUGUCGUGAGAUGUUGGGUUAAGUCCCGCAACGAGCGCAACCCUUGUUCACUGUUGSCAGCACGUUAUGGUGGGGACUCAGUGGAGACCGCCGGGGUCAACUCGGAGGAAGGUGGGGAUGACGUCAAGUCAUCAUGCCCCUUAUGUCCAGGGCUUCACGCAUGCUACAAUGGCUGGUACAGAGAGUGGCGAGCCUGUGAGGGUGAGCGAAUCUCGGAAAGCCGGUCUCAGUUCGGAUUGGGGUCUGCAACUCGACCUCAUGAAGUCGGAGUCGCUAGUAAUCGCAGAUCAGCAACGCUGCGGUGAAUACGUUCCCGGGGC